RNAcentral lists this ribosomal RNA (498 nucleotides) under uncultured bacterium. RNAcentral describes it as "partial 16S ribosomal RNA". It matches the Rfam family "Bacterial small subunit ribosomal RNA", at positions 29 to 507 of the family's 1533-position model. The record is from RNAcentral.
AUGAACGCUGGCGGCGUGCCUAAUACAUGCAAGUCGAGCGAACAGACGAGAGUGCUUGCACUCUCUGACGUUAGCGGCGGACGGGUGAGUAACACGUGGGUAACCUACCUAUAAGACUGGGAUAACUUCGGGAAACCGGAGCUAAUACCGGAUAAUAUUUAGCUUCGCAUGAAGCAAUAGUGAAAGACGGUUCUGCUGUCACUUAUAGAUGGACCCGCGGUGUAUUAGCUAGUUGGUGAGGUAACGGCUCACCAAGGCAACGAUACAUAGCCGACCUGAGAGGGUGAUCGGCCACACGGGGACUGAGACACGGCCCAGACUCCUACGGGAGGCAGCAGUAGGGAAUCUUCCGCAAUGGACGAAAGUCUGACGGAGCAAUGCCGCGUGAGUGAAGAAGGUUUUCGGAUCGUAAAACUCUGUUGUAAGGGAAGAACAAGUACGUUAGUAACUGAACGUACCUUGACGGUACCUUACCAGAAAGCCACGGCUAACUACGUG